CCUUUUUUUACAACCUUUUAUCAUGUAUAGUUUUCAGCACCUGUUUAAAAUACUACAUAAUCUGAAGGCAGCUUCUUUGCAGGGGUGUAAAUGGCAGUUCCUUGGUCACAACCGUGCACAUUUAAAGCAAGGUUGUAGCAAGCACCCUAGUAGUCACCAUGACUUCCUAAAGCCUGAUCUGAGCUGGUUGGCAGCAGUGCUUUCCCAAUUUAGUAACUGGGGACUUUUUGGAGACCUGAUGGGCACCCAAUCCUUUUUGAUGUUGUGCUAGACAUACACCAAACUGAGUCUGGGCAAGGCUGGUACUUCAUCACUGAGAAGAGGAAAGACCUGUAUGCAAUUACCGCAUCCGUUCUCAUGUUGAAACUGUUUUCCCUAGAAAGAGUCCUUAAUAUCAGUAAGUGACUCUAGUACGUCCGUGUUAUUGCAAGGGUC
This 435-nucleotide long non-coding RNA is filed under the name Anser brachyrhynchus (Pink-footed goose). Its description in RNAcentral is "lncRNA (ENSABRG00000004046.1)". The record is from RNAcentral. Lineage: Eukaryota; Metazoa; Chordata; Aves; Anseriformes; Anatidae.